This 935-nucleotide long non-coding RNA is filed under the name Solanum tuberosum (potato). RNAcentral describes it as "long non-coding RNA (STUB_LNC009678)". The record is from RNAcentral. Lineage: Eukaryota; Viridiplantae; Streptophyta; Magnoliopsida; Solanales; Solanaceae.
UUUCUGUUCCCUUCUCCUUUCAAGAGUUUGUGGAAGUAAGCUUGUCAUCUUUACUAAAUGGAGGUUUCUUCCACCAACACCUUGCCUUCCUCAUCCUUAUGCACUUCACUUGAUCGAAGUCGGAGCCUUUGUCCCCUAGCUUGACUACGUUGUAAUUACUAGGAUGUGUAAUUACUACCCUAGUAAAUAUGCCAAUUCUAAUUAUCUAGUGGCUUUCCAAAUAGACCCUAAUACUAAAUUCACCAACAAAUUUCUCUACGAAAACAUAGUGCAAGGAGGAGGAUAAUAUAUUUUGACCAAUAAUUUAUCACCUAUUGUUCCUCAAUAUUAUGUUCCCGAAAACUACAUUAACUAUGGUGAAAGAGAAUGUAAUAUAUCUCUGAGUGAAGGUAGAAUUGAAAUUAAUAGUGGUGUUAAGGGAGUGGAGAAAGAAAGAUAUGUUUGUCUGUUUAGGGAAGAAAGGUGAUUGGGAAGAAGACAAACAAGAAAGAAGAAUAAAGAACAAAAUAAAAAAAUGGAAAAAGAAUAAAAAAAACCUAAAAUGAAAAAUGUUAUAAAAACUAAUUAAGUACAGUUACUUUUUAAAGAAAAAACCAAUAAGAAGAUGACAAGUAUAUGAGUUUGGCUGCUUUUGGUAUUUUCUCUUCUCACGCGAUUUAAGACAAAUGAUAGCACAUCUUUUUCCAGAACACCUGUUAGGGGGUAUUAAAUUCACUUUGGACAAAAAUAGGGGGUUCUUAAUAAUCACCCGUAAAGUUGGAUUGUGUAACUAAGUAUUCGAAACAACUUUUAUUACAUGCUUAAUGCGCAAAAGGUUUACAUGUCCUGAUCUUGAAUUAUUUUGCCAUGCAUGGCUUAACCCAGUGGCGGAGCCAGAAAUUUUAAUAAGGGGGUUCAAAAUUUGAGAAGUAAACACACGAACUAGUGGAAGGGGG